RNAcentral lists this unclassified non-coding RNA (257 nucleotides) under uncultured fungus. Its description in RNAcentral is "sequence contains ITS2". The stretch from base 1 to 52 matches the Rfam family "5.8S ribosomal RNA", at positions 103 to 154 of the family's 154-position model. Lineage: Eukaryota; Fungi. The record is from RNAcentral.
AACGCACAUUGCGCCCGCCAGUAUUCUGGCGGGCAUGCCUGUUCGAGCGUCAUUUCAACCCUCAAGCCCCCGGGCUUGGUGUUGGAGAUCGGCGAGCCCCCCGGGGCGCGCCGCCUCCCAAAUAUAGUGGCGGUCUCGCUGUAGCUUCCUCUGCGUAGUAGCACACCUCGCACUGGGAAACAGCCUGGCCACGCCGUUAAACCCCCCACUUCUGAAAGGUUGACCUCGGAUCAGGUAGGAAUACCCGCUGAACUUAA